CUGACUGCUAUUGGAGUGGGACUAAGUCACGCUAGCCAAAGGUGCGGAAUGGAGCACCUGGCGUACGGCUCAGUAACACGUAGUCAACCUACCCUAAGGACGAGGACAACCACGGGAAACUGUGGCUAAUACUCGAUAAGAAAUUUGGCCUGGAACGGUAUCUUUCAAAAAACCGGCUCGCCGUGAGACACGGGCCUUAGGAUGGGGCUGCGGCCGAUUAUGCUAGAUGGCGGUGUAAAGGACCACCAUGGCUACGAUCGGUAUGGGCGAUGGAAGUCGGAGCCCAGAGUCGGCUACUGAGACAAGGAGCCGAGCUUUACGAAGCUUAGCGGUCGCGAAAACUCGCCAAUGCACGAAAGUGUGAGUGGGCUACUCCAAGUGACAUUCUUACGGAUGUCUGUCGCACAGUCUUACCAGCUGUGAAAGGAAGGAGAGGGCAAGGCUGGUGCCAGCCGCCGCGGUAAAACCAGCUCUUCGAGUGGUCAGGACGAAUAUUGGGUCUAAAGCGCUCGUAGCCGGACAAGUAGGUUUUUGGUUAAACCCGACAGCAUAACUGUUGGCCUGCUGGAAAUACCGCUAGUCUUGGAAGCGGGAGAGGACAGAGGUAGUCAUGGGGCAGGGGUGAAAUCCAGUGAUCCCAUGGCGACCACCGAUGGCGAAGGCAUCUGUCUGGAACGUAUUCGACGGUGAGGGGCGAAAGCUAGGGGAGCGACCCGGAUUAGGUACCCGGUUAGUCCUAGCCGUAAACGAUGCGGACUAGGUGUUACAGCGGCCAAGAGCCUCUGUAGUGCCACAGUGAAGACGUUAAGUCCGCCACCUGGGGAGUACGGAUGCACGUCUGAAACUUAAAGGAAUUGACGGGGGCGCACCACCAGGAGUGAAGCCUGCGGUUUAUUGGAUUCACGCCG
RNAcentral lists this ribosomal RNA (908 nucleotides) under uncultured archaeon. RNAcentral describes it as "bacterial SSU rRNA". It matches the Rfam family "Archaeal small subunit ribosomal RNA", at positions 23 to 920 of the family's 1478-position model. The record is from RNAcentral.